RNAcentral lists this ribosomal RNA (484 nucleotides) under uncultured bacterium. Its description in RNAcentral is "partial 16S ribosomal RNA". It matches the Rfam family "Bacterial small subunit ribosomal RNA", at positions 30 to 507 of the family's 1533-position model. The record is from RNAcentral.
AUUGAACGCUGGCGGCAGGCCUAACACAUGCAAGUCGAGCGGAUGAAGGGAGCUUGCUCCUGGAUUCAGCGGCGGACGGGUGAGUAAUGCCUAGGAAUCUGCCUGGUAGUGGGGGAUAACGUCCGGAAACGGGCGCUAAUACCGCAUACGUCCUGAGGGAGAAAGUGGGGGAUCUUCGGACCUCACGCUAUCAGAUGAGCCUAGGUCGGAUUAGCUAGUUGGUGGGGUAAAGGCCUACCAAGGCGACGAUCCGUAACUGGUCUGAGAGGAUGAUCAGUCACACUGGAACUGAGACACGGUCCAGACUCCUACGGGAGGCAGCAGUGGGGAAUAUUGGACAAUGGGCGAAAGCCUUAUCCAGCCACGCCGCGUGUGUGAAGAAGGUCUUCGGAUUGUAAAGCACUUUAAGUUGGGAGGAAGGGCAGUAAGUUAAUACCUUGCUGUUUUGACGUUACCAACAGAAUAAGCACCGGCUAACUUCGUG